CUUUUCAGCUAUGUACAGCUUACAGCAAUUUGAUAAAGUAUUCUUUUGUACAUAAAAUGGAAACAUUUGCUUUUCUUCCCUACUUGAUCUCUCCAAAGUUCAGAAACUAUUGGUGAGUAUUCUUAUUUUUAUGUCAAAUAUGAGUAUUUACAUAAGUUCAAUAAGAAUUUAACUGUAUCCUUUAACAAGAUACAGUUGAAAUAUUGAAUAUAUUAUUACUAAGGCUUUGACUGGAAUGUCAUAUUUGAAAAUGUGCAUAGAAUGCCUGGCUUCGGGAGUUCCCAACCCUUCAGAGAGUGAGUAAAAAGUUGUCACUUCUUGGCAGGCCAGAGAACAUCAAGAUAUUACAAGAUAUUACUGUAGGCAAAGUCUGAUAUCUGCUUUGGUUUGACUUCCUAGUGUCAAGAGGUUUUUAAAAGUCCAAAUUUAGCUUCCUUGUGAAAAUUUACAGCAAAGCAAAUUUAAAAAGAGUGAGCUUAUGUGGCUAUUCUUGCUAUACUUAUGUAAAUAUCAGGCCAAGUUUGAGGCUAAACUUAUUUUACAAACGUAUUGGUCUUACCAUGAUUAUCUUUAAUAAAAACGGGGGUGACUGUAGAGAGAAAAAUUAUGUUUCAGAAGAAAAGUACAGUACAUCUGUUAUUUGAUUGUAGACCUGUUUAUUGCUUUUGAGUUUUUAUGAUCUAUCUGUAGACUGGAUUCCAAAUUCUUUCUAGUUUCCUCUAGCAUCUGGGUACAACUCUUCAACAAAGAAUAAGAACUGCUCUGUUCCUGAAACCCUAUGGCCAAAGUUGGACGAUUCAAUAUACAUUCCAAGGGACAAGUCUCAUGCCUGAUGUUUGAGCCACAUAGAUAGUUUGUCAGAAUGUCUGAUGCCACAACUGAAGAUACUCAAACUGCAAACUAGGAUAAGUCGCUGACUUCAUGCUGUGGAUAGCUUAUCACAAAACCAGAGGAACAAGACUCCAUAUCAUAGUGGUUCAACUCAUCAAGACCCUGGCUUAGGAGCAUACUCCAAACUCUUGCUCCUUUAUGUUACCCACCAGAGGGAUGAAAGCGAUUGAUUCUACCAGAAGCUAUUGAAAAAUGUAUAUGGCUUUUAGUAGUCGUGAUGAUGAUGAUGAUGAUGAUGAUGACAAUUGUUUUGGCAUUUUCAGAUUUCAGAAGCAAAUUGCUGCCUCCUGGGCACUCUA
This is a long non-coding RNA of Cercocebus atys (sooty mangabey), 1190 nucleotides long. RefSeq lists it as uncharacterized. The record is from RefSeq and is a predicted model, not a curated record. The transcript is spliced from 3 exons. NCBI's taxonomy places the organism in Eukaryota, Metazoa, Chordata, Mammalia, Primates, Cercopithecidae.